AGAGUUUGAUUCUGGCUCAGGAUGAACGCUGGCGGCGUGCUUAACACAUGCAAGUCGAACGGAGUUUUAACGGAAGUUUCGGAUGGAAGUUAAAAACUUAGUGGCGGACGGGUGAGUAACGCGUGGGUAACCUGCCUCAUACAGGGGGAUAACAGUUAGAAAUGACUGCUAACACCGCAUAAUAUAGCGAAACCGCAUGAUUUUGCUAUCAAAUAUUUAUAGGUAUGAGAUGGGCCCGCGUCUGAUUAGCUAGUUGGUGGGGUAAAAGCCUACCAAGGCGACGAUCAGUAGCCGGCUUGAGAGAGUGACCGGCCACAUUGGGACUGAGACACGGCCCAAACUCCUACGGGAGGCAGCAGUGGGGAAUAUUGGACAAUGGGGGAAACCCUGAUCCAGCGACGCCCGCGUGAGUGAAGAAGUAUUUCGGUAUGUAAAGCUCUAUCAGCAGGGAAGAUAAUGACAGUACCUGACUAAGAAGCCCCGGCUAACUACGUGCCAGCAGCAGC
RNAcentral lists this ribosomal RNA (506 nucleotides) under uncultured bacterium. RNAcentral describes it as "bacterial SSU rRNA". It matches the Rfam family "Bacterial small subunit ribosomal RNA", at positions 8 to 518 of the family's 1533-position model. The record is from RNAcentral.